This 442-nucleotide ribosomal RNA is filed under the name uncultured bacterium. RNAcentral describes it as "partial 16S ribosomal RNA". It matches the Rfam family "Bacterial small subunit ribosomal RNA", at positions 338 to 795 of the family's 1533-position model. The record is from RNAcentral.
CCUACGGGCGGCAGCAGUAGGGAAUCUUUCACAAUGGGCGAAAGCCUGAUGGAGCAACGCCGCGUGCAGGAUGAAGGCCUUCGGGUUGGAAACUGCUUUUAUAAGCGAGAAAUAUGAUGGUAACUUAUGAAUAAGGAUCGUCUAACUACGUGCCAGCAGCCGCGGUCAUACGUAGGAUACGAGCAUUAUCCGGAGAUACUGGGUGUAAAGAGUUGCGUAUGUGGCAUAGUAAGUAGCUAGUGGAAUCUGGUGGCUCAACCAUUCAGACUACUAGCUAAACUGCUAAGCUCGAGAACAUUGGGGGUAACUGGAAUUUCUAGUGUAGGAGUGAAAUCCGUAGAUAUUAGAAGGAACACCGAUAGCGUAGGCAGGUUACUGGGACGGUUCUGACACUAAGGCACGAAAGCGUAGGGAGCAAACGGGAUUAGAUACCCUAGUAGUC